Molecule: non-coding RNA, 363 nt
Organism: Pelobates cultripes (western spadefoot toad)
Lineage: Eukaryota; Metazoa; Chordata; Amphibia; Anura; Pelobatidae
Source: the annotation of a GenBank genome assembly
GACAUGUUUGGAGCACCUGUAUGGAAACUCUUGCUCAUUACAAAUGGCUGUUUCCGGGUAUUGUUGGAACCUAUAUAAGUUCCCACCUAAUAAAUAUUAAGCCUACAGGAUUCUUUUUCAAGUGAAGGAUAGAACAAUUUAUAGCAUUACACAUGAUAAUUUACAGUGGAAGAAUACUCUCUAGGGGUAAUUAUUAUAUUGAGUCGGAAGUUAGAGCUUCCAAAAGCUCUGCCCUUGACAUGCCUCUGAGAAGCGUUUCCCAUUCUACUGCUGCCAAAAUGAAGAUGAUUACACAUGGAAUGGCAGCGAUUAUAGGAAUUUCUUUCCUCCUUGACGUGAAUAAUGAAAUAUUCAGAACCUGUC